Molecule: ribosomal RNA, 460 nt
Filed under: uncultured bacterium
Lineage: Bacteria
Description: partial 16S ribosomal RNA
Rfam family: Bacterial small subunit ribosomal RNA
Source: RNAcentral
UCUACGGGAGGCAGCAGUGAGGAAUAUUGGUCAAUGGGAGAGAUCCUGAACCAGCCAAGCCGCGUGAGGGAAGACGGCCCUAUGGGUUGUAAACCUCUUUUGUCGGAGAACAAAACCCGGGACGUGUCCCGGACUGCGUGUAUCCGAAGAAAAAGCAUCGGCUAACUCCGUGCCAGCAGCCGCGGUAAUACGGAGGAUGCGAGCGUUAUCCGGAUUUAUUGGGUUUAAAGGGUGCGUAGGCUGUUGGAUAAGUUCACGGGCAAAUGUCGGGGCUGAACCCCGGGCCUGCCGCUGAUACUGUUCGACUAGAGAGCGGAUGCAGCAGGCGGAAUGAGUAGUGUAGCGGUGAAAUGCUUAGAUAUUACUCAGAACACCGAUUGCGCAGGCAGCUGGCUAAUCCGCAGCUGACGCUGAUGCACGAAAGCGUGGGUAGCGAACAGGAUUAGAUACCCGUGUAGUC